GGGGAUGUAGCUCAGUUGGUUAGAGCGCCGGCCUGUCACGCCGGAGGUCGCGAGUUCGAGCCUCGUCAUCCCCGCCA
RNAcentral lists this transfer RNA (77 nucleotides) under Candidatus Aquarickettsia rohweri. RNAcentral describes it as "tRNA-Asp". It matches the Rfam family "tRNA". Rfam says of the family: Transfer RNA (tRNA) molecules are approximately 80 nucleotides in length. Their secondary structure includes four short double-helical elements and three loops (D, anti-codon, and T loops). Further hydrogen bonds mediate the characteristic L-shaped molecular structure. tRNAs have two regions of fundamental functional importance: the anti-codon, which is responsible for specific mRNA codon recognition, and the 3' end, to which the tRNAs corresponding amino acid is attached (by aminoacyl-tRNA synthetases). tRNAs cope with the degeneracy of the genetic code in two manners: having more than one tRNA (with a specific anti-codon) for a particular amino acid; and 'wobble' base-pairing, i.e. permitting non-standard base-pairing at the 3rd anti-codon position. Lineage: Bacteria; Pseudomonadati; Pseudomonadota; Alphaproteobacteria; Rickettsiales; Candidatus Midichloriaceae. The record is from RNAcentral.